RNAcentral lists this long non-coding RNA (3367 nucleotides) under Homo sapiens (human). RNAcentral describes it as "non-protein coding LINC00926:10". Lineage: Eukaryota; Metazoa; Chordata; Mammalia; Primates; Hominidae. The record is from RNAcentral.
UCUCGCUCUGUCACCCAGGCUGGAGUGCAGUGGCGUGAUCUCGGCUCAUUGCAACCUCCGCCUCCUGGGUUCAAGCAAUUCUCCUGCCUCAGCCUCCUGAGUAGCUGGGAUUACAGGCGCCCGCCACCACUCCCAGCUAAUUUUUGUAUUUUUAGUAGGGACGAGGUUUCACCAUGUUGGUCAGGCUGGUCUCAAACUCCUGACCUCGUGAUCUGCCCUCCUUGGCCUUCCAAAGUGCUGGGAUUACAGGCGUGAUGGAGAUGAUACUCCCUAAAUCACAAGGGUGUGGUGUGAAGAUGAAAUGGCUGCACGUGACAGAGGAGUUGGAGAACAGGAAGCAAGUGGAUUACUUGGAUGAACUGUGAUGGGCCCAAGAAGAACUAAGCCAAUCACUCCAGGGGGCGUUUUCCCAGGAUCCAGGCAGAGAGCUGAUUCCAGCAUCCACGUUGUAUCCCCCUCCCGCUGUGGCCGGGGUCUCCAAGAGCCGGGCACCCACUGCAGAGCUUCCAAGCCCAGGCCCAUUUGAACACAGGAGGACUUUUGAGGUUCAUUUAACCCCAAAAUCAGUGAUUCUACAUCUCAAGCUCAUAUUUUGAAGUGUUUACGGGGUUGCAGUGAGCCAAGAUUGCGCCAUUGCACUCCAGCCUGGGUGAGAGAGCGAGACUCCAUCUCUGAAUAAAUAAAGUAACAAAAUACAUUUCAGUCUCGAGCUCCAGUUCCCUGCCAGGAAGAGCUGAAGCUGAGCUCUGGCACCCCCUGCUUCUUCUCCCUCAUCCCUAAAACAUGUGGGGUACUGGGUGCCAAAGGAGAUCUGAAGAUGGCCACCACUCAGACCAGCAGUAGAGGCCAAGAAGGUGGUGAGAAAUUUUAAGGUAUUGUAGCAUAUGCUCUCCAGGGUGAGGACACAGGAUGCUGGGACCUAAGGAGGGAGAAGUUAACCCAGAGAGGGCCCAAGUCAGGGAGGACCUGACUGUGGUGACAGAGCCAGUCAUGCUAAUAAUAGGAGCAGUGGUUUUGCAAUCACAAAUAUUGGUCUGGGGGACUGCGGGCCCAAUGUGGUGGGAGUUUUAGAGCAGGGACCCCUCCACUGUACGUGGAUUCUUAUACUUGCUAAGUUGCACUGAAUUCUCAAUCAACCCAUUUGGAGGCUCUCACCAAGACAGGAGUCCCUUUGAAUUGGUAGGAUGUUAAAAGCUUCCUCCAGCCAUUGACCCUGGGUCCCAUUGGUAGAAAUCAGAUAAUAAAUCAGAUUUUCCAGGUAAUCCUCAGUUUAAUGUCCAUUCCCUCAUUCAAUCAAUUAUUCAAUUACAAAUCAUUUUUAAUAUGAUUUUAUGGUUCAGGAAUUCAGGCAGGGCUCAGAUGGGCAGUUCUUCUGCCCCACAUGGCAUUGGCUGAUAACAGGCUACCCCAAGGAAAUCACAGUGUAAUGGGAGAUGGGAAAUAGGUUAACACAAAGUUACUAUACUACAAGAAAAAUCUUCAAAUCUUCAAUCUUCAUUCUUCAUGGGUGUGAGUCUUCUCUGGUGGAGAAGAGAGUUCUUUGCUAAAUUAUAUUCCUGUGUUAGCCAGCCAAGCACACACGGAGUACAGCUGUCCCUUGCUAUUCAUGGCAGAUUGAUCCCAGACACUGCCACCCCCAGCCCUGUGAACACCAAAACCCAUGGAUGCUCAAGUCCUUGAUAUAAAAUGGUAUGGUAUUUGCACAUAACCUACACACAUCUUCCCAUAUACUUUAAAUCAUCACUAGAUUACUUAUAAUACCUAAUGCAAUGUAAAUGCUAUGUAAGUAGUUGCUACGCUGUAUUGCUUAGGGAAUAAUGACAAGAAAAAAAGGCUGUACAACUUCAGUACAAAUGCUAUCAUUCAUUUUUUUAUCUGAAUAUUAUGAUCCAUGAAUACAGAGGGCUGGCUGUAAAAAGAAUGUACAGUUUGGUACUUUACUCCUAGUUUAAGUCAUCUCUUUCGGCCCAUACAGGUUGCCUGGGGCAGGGCGGUGGUGAGUGUGUUGAGUCGGCCCUAUACCCUGUUCCACAAUGCCUGGUGUCCUUGGCACGUAGCUUGCAGGGCUGCUUCCAUGGAUGGCUGCCUCAUCCCCCACCCCUCCUUCAUGGCACCCUCUUUUCUCCAACUCCUUUUCCUCUGCUGAGUCCUACCUUUUCUUGCCAGACCAGGGAUUUGCCAAUUAUUCUGGAUGGGCACAGGGAAGGGGCCCUCAGAUCCUGCAGAGGGAGCAUCUGAAAGACAAUGAGACCCUGUACACAACCAAGCUGAGCCUCCUCCUCUCUACCCCUGCCUGUGGCUCUCCCGUCUCCUGGCAUUCUAACCUGCCACUGAAUUCUUCCCACGCCAAACGCAGGUUAGGAACCUAAGCUCGGAUGAAAUGCUGGCUUAGACCUCAUUGCUACUGAGAAGCAGAAACCACACUUUUUAGUUGGUAGAGGUGGAUGUGGAUUGGGGCCAUAAAGUUUCCUCAAUCAUUGAAUAAGGAUUUCAUUAUUUGGACUAACUAAAUACAUUAGAUUAUUUAUACUAACUAAAUAAAUUAGAUUUAUUUUUCGAAGUUUAAAAUCAUUUUCAAUAGUGACGAAAAAGGCUGUAGAUGAGAUGGGAGAAUCUUUCGACGCCAAAUUCUUCCCAUCUCCUGCCUAGUAUGUAUCACUACACCUUGCCCAGAGAGACGGAGGACGCGCACAGCCCGAGGAGGCAGAGCCCCAGACGGGAAUGGGCUUUUCAGAGGUGGGGUGCGGGCGAGGGGACGAUGCAUUAUUUUUAAUAUUUGAUUUAUUUUUCCAACUGGACUUCUUCCCGGGGCUCUUUCUGGGCCCAGCUGCCUUUGUGAUCCCGCGCCCCGGUCCUCGGCCUCUCACCUCCAGCGCCGGGGCGCCCCCUGCUGUCGGAAGCGGCUGUGACCGGGCAGAGGUGCUAUCUGGGACUCUGGGUUCUCAGCCCGGGGACAGCGAACCGAGGGGCAGAUGAUCCAUCAGAAAAGAGCCGGCACUGCCCAGCCCCGCGCCCCUGCCCCUGCCUUUUUCCGGGAGCGCGCCGCGCCGCACCCGCUACGGCCGCUUGACCCCAUCUUUGAGCCCGGCCCCAAGCUCUGGGACCGUCGUGCCCCUCAUCAAGGAAGAGCCAAGGACCCCAAGGAGAAGGUAGAAAGGAGUUCAUGAAGGCAGAAAUGCCUGGGGCCCACGAACAUCCCAGUGUGGCCCUGGACGGGACAUCAUGCUGGGCAACACAGCUAAAAUGCGGGUGAAGACCAGAUUUCUUGCACAUGGCGGUGACGGGAUGCUCCCUAGAGAGCUUCAAGUGGAUUCUUUGCUUUUUAUUUUCUCUCUUAAUAAAAAUGUAUGAUGUUUACAUUGUCAGA